RNAcentral lists this ribosomal RNA (409 nucleotides) under Paenibacillus riograndensis. RNAcentral describes it as "bacterial LSU rRNA". It matches the Rfam family "Bacterial large subunit ribosomal RNA", at positions 1 to 401 of the family's 2925-position model. The record is from RNAcentral. Lineage: Bacteria; Bacillati; Bacillota; Bacilli; Caryophanales; Paenibacillaceae.
GUGGUUAAGCUAAUAAGAGCACACGGAGGAUGCCUAGGCGCCAGGAGCCGACGAAGGACGUGGCGAACAACGAAACUGCCUCGGGGAGCUGUAAGCAAGCUUUGAUCCGGGGGUGUCCGAAUGGGGAAACCCGGCUGUGGUAAUUCACAGUCACUCAUACCUGAAUACAUAGGGUGUGAAGAGGCAGACCAGGGGAACUGAAACAUCUAAGUACCCUGAGGAAGAGAAAACAAUAGUGAUUCCGUCAGUAGCGGCGAGCGAACGCGGAACAGCCUAAACCAAGGAGCUUGCUCCUUGGGGUUGUGGGACGUCUCACAUGGAGUUACAAAGGAACCGGGUAGGCGAAGAGGUCUGGAAAGGCCCGCGAUAGAGGUAAAAGCCCUGUACCUCAAACAGCUUUCUCUCCGAG